RNAcentral lists this long non-coding RNA (1058 nucleotides) under Cavia porcellus (domestic guinea pig). Its description in RNAcentral is "lncRNA (ENSCPOG00000035903.1)". The record is from RNAcentral. Lineage: Eukaryota; Metazoa; Chordata; Mammalia; Rodentia; Caviidae.
GAAGACCCAGAACCUGGAUGAUUUACGUUCUACUUCAUUUCCCAGUGACACUUGGAGCUCUGAGACAGAUAAACUGAUACAACGUGGAGCUGCCUGAGCCCCUCCUGGACCAUGCUUCAAAUGCAGCAGAAGGACAUUGGGCAGGAGAGUGCCUCAUCCUGGUGUUGCUUUGGGGCCUUGCCCCAGGGCUACUGGACUGUCCUAGCCACCAGAGAGUGGUCUAACAUGUGGGCAUUCACCAGUGAUAAAGUUGUCUUGGUUAAAACACCUGGCACCAGCUUCUACAUGGACAUCAACUAUCAUCCUGUCGACCUUCCUAAACCCCAGGACAGCGCCCCCUUCCAGCAGGAAGUAGUAGAAGAAAGAAAAACUCUGCCCUUUUUCCUAAUAAUAUAAAAAUGGGAAUGAAAGGAUUUUGCCCUAAAUGAGAUGCUGUAGCAGUGGGAGGCGCUGGGAGGCAAAAAGUCAUCUUCCCUGCCCCUAAGCAAUUUUUUUUUGUCUUUUUGAGACAGGAUCUCACUAUGCAGUUCAGGCUGGCCUUGAGCUCACUUUGUAGCCCAGGCUGGUCUUGAACUCGCAACGAUCCUCCUGCCUCAGCCUCCCGAGUGCUGGGAUUACAGACGUGAGCCACACGCCUGGAAACCCCUAAGAAAUUUAUCUGUGGCACAAAAUGAAUUACAAUGGGCUACCUGUGCAUCAGUAAUGCCCCUUAGGCUCCCCCAAACCUAAGCUAUGUGUAUGCCCCCACUCCACAUGUCUGGCAGAGAGAAUGCCAGACAUCAGUGGUCGGGGUGUUCUCUCUCUGUAUUCUUAAAAUAAAGGCCACUUUACUUUACAUUCUGUCUUCUAACCGCGCCAAAACCUCUUUCACUUACUAUGUCCGUACUCCCGCCUGAAGGAGGAGAAAACACGAAAAGGAGGUCUUCCUUCAAGGGCUUGUUCCAGAAACACAAAUCUCUUCUGCUCAUAUGCCGUUAACCACAGCCUGGUCACGUGCCCAUGUCUGCUGCAAGGAAUGCUGAUUAAUACAGUCUCCAUCUUGGAUCACCUCAUUCCCA